UUGCCCAUCCGGGCUGCGGAUACCUGCUGGGU
Unclassified non-coding RNA from Marmota marmota marmota (Alpine marmot), 32 nucleotides. Lineage: Eukaryota; Metazoa; Chordata; Mammalia; Rodentia; Sciuridae. The record is from Ensembl.